GCGUUGGUAGUUUAAUGGUAAAAUCCAGUGGUAAGAACUUUCAUUGCAACUGGGCUCCGGGUUCGAUUCCCGGCCAACGUA
Molecule: non-coding RNA, 81 nt
Organism: Rhypophila decipiens
Lineage: Eukaryota; Fungi; Ascomycota; Sordariomycetes; Sordariales; Naviculisporaceae
Source: the annotation of a GenBank genome assembly